This 240-nucleotide unclassified non-coding RNA is filed under the name soil metagenome. RNAcentral describes it as "partial contains 5.8S ribosomal RNA, internal transcribed spacer 2, and large subunit ribosomal RNA". The record is from RNAcentral.
AACGCACGAGACCUGCGGACCUGCGGAGGGAUCAUUACCGAGUUUUCAACUCCCAAACCCCAUGUGAACUUAUACCAUUUACACCGUUGCUUCGGCGGGUUCUCGCCCCGGGCUUUACAACCCCGGAACCAGGCGGCCCGCCGGGGGACCCAAACUCUAGAUUUUAUUUUGGCAUGUCUGAGUGGAAUCAUUACAAAAUGAAUCAAAACUUUCAGCAAUGGAUCUCUAGAUCGGAAGAGC